This 492-nucleotide ribosomal RNA is filed under the name uncultured bacterium. Its description in RNAcentral is "partial 16S ribosomal RNA". It matches the Rfam family "Bacterial small subunit ribosomal RNA", at positions 29 to 507 of the family's 1533-position model. The record is from RNAcentral.
AGUGAACGCUGGCGGUAGGCCUAACACAUGCAAGUCGAACGGCAGCACAGUAAGAGCUUGCUCUUACGGGUGGCGAGUGGCGGACGGGUGAGGAAUACAUCGGAAUCUACUUUUUCGUGGGGGAUAACGUAGGGAAACUUACGCUAAUACCGCAUACGACCUACGGGUGAAAGCAGGGGAUCUUCGGACCUUGCGCGAUUGAAUGAGCCGAUGUCGGAUUAGCUAGUUGGCGGGGUAAAGGCCCACCAAGGCGACGAUCCGUAGCUGGUCUGAGAGGAUGAUCAGCCACACUGGAACUGAGACACGGUCAAGACUCCUACGGGAGGCAGCAGUGGGGAAUAUGGGACAAUGGUGGGAAGCCUGAUCCAGCCAUACCGCGUGGGUGAAGAAGGCCUUCGGGGUGGAAAGCCCUUUUGUGGGGAAAGAAAAGCAGCAGGUUAAUACGCCGCUGGUCUGACGGUACCCAAAGAAUAAGCACCGGCUAACUUCGUG